GUAGGUGAACCUGCGGAGGGAUCAUUACUGAGUGAGGGAGCAGUCCCGACCUCCAACCCUUUGUGAACGCAUCAUGUUGCUUUGGGGGCGACCCUGCCGUCCGCGGCAUUCCCCCCGAAGGUCAUCAAAACACUGCAUUCUUACGUCGGAGUAUAAAGUUAAUUUAAUAAAACUUUCAACAACGGAUCUCUUGGUUCUG
This 199-nucleotide unclassified non-coding RNA is filed under the name rhizosphere metagenome. RNAcentral's name for it is "partial ribosomal RNA internal transcribed spacer region". The record is from RNAcentral.